CCAGAGACGCUAAUUAGUAUGAUCUAAGCUGGAUGCGUGCAAAGUUUGCACUUUCGGAGGGUGGAUCAAGCUGUCGAAGGUCUGAAAGAAAACAUAUAAAAGUCACUGCCACAGAAGGUCUUCUUAACAGUGUCAUUCACCAACUCUUGUCUCCGGAAUAUCUGCUCUUCCUACUCUAGAUUUUUUCUCGACUGGAAAGUCAUCUAUCAACAUCAGAGUGAUGGAAGUGAUCCCAUCAGGGAGAAUAUAUGUGCCCUUAAAAUUUACAAUUCAUGAGGAUUAUCGCUAUCCCACUGGACCAUACCUGAAUCCUCUCCUGUCUGGUCGAGUCCCCAUAUCAAUUUUGGAAGUUGGCACAUCCCCAUUUCUCCUGAGCAACAAACCGGAGCAGAGAUAUGGAGGGUCCUCAGGUUUUAGCUUUCCUCAACUUUGGUCUGAAAUUCAUUUGCCACCACUGAUGCAACCAUGCUCAUUUCUUUACAAUCCCGGAACAAGAUCACCCCUUCAUUGAAUGGGAACAUGAUCAUCACAGGAAUGGAACAGAACGGUACCCGAAUUGCACAAAAUAGAUUCACAGGUGAUGAUUGUAUGGGUUUUGGUGCCAGAAAUGUUGAGCCUCUCCAUCCAGAUAAACAAGAGCAGACUGGAUCAUCACAUCUGUCACUCAUACCUACACCUGCCUGCUCAAAGCACCUCUCAGGUUUCCCUCCAACUCUCUUAGAUAUGGAGUUUUUUGCUUCCUUUCUUUCAAGCCAACCUGAAGGCAUUCUGACCAAAAUUCAAGGGAUCCCAAAUUCACUGCUCAUUCUUUGAUGUAUCUCUGAAUAUUCCUCAGGUCUGCAAGAUUUAUGAUGCUUCCAUUUUCCUGAGAAGCUGUCAUUCUCUGUGUACUUAUGCCUUGUCUCAUUUUACUCCUCAUUCAUCUGUCAUUUCACUCUUCUGCACAAAAUGUAUUGUUCACCUUUCUGAAGCUGCUCAACAUGGAAAGGCUUCCCUGCACUCCUCUUUCCCCUACAAUAAACCUCAUCUAUCUGCAUCAAAACGA
Long non-coding RNA from Rhineura floridana, 1045 nucleotides. RefSeq lists it as uncharacterized. The record is from RefSeq and is a predicted model, not a curated record. NCBI's taxonomy places the organism in Eukaryota, Metazoa, Chordata, Lepidosauria, Squamata, Rhineuridae. The transcript has 2 exons.